This 544-nucleotide long non-coding RNA is filed under the name Bos taurus (domestic cattle). RNAcentral's name for it is "long non-coding RNA NONBTAT001261". The record is from RNAcentral. Lineage: Eukaryota; Metazoa; Chordata; Mammalia; Artiodactyla; Bovidae.
UUGUCCAAACUCUAAAUGUGGACUUCACUGAGAACUACCUAGGGACGCAGACUUCAGACCCAUGUCACACAUUUAGAGUGCUGCCUCCCACAAAAUCAUGGAAUGAUCUUGACUGAAUUCUGUGUCUGUUGAGGACACAUGCCAGUUACACUAGUGUUCCCUUACUUCGAGAUUAAAAGGCAAGAAUUUUAGUUUUUUAUGAUUCCUAGUAAGGAUUUUUUUAAAAUUGUACUUGAGAAUUGAAAGCUUAAGGUCAUAGUAAGCACAUGCAUCUGUCUAUAUGUAAUGUCUGUGUGUUUUAAUACAUAUGUUUAGUUUCUUACCAGACUUUCCAGGAAUCAGUUCAGUGUCAUGUAGGUCUGUAGUUAACCAUCCUGGAACAAUGCACAGCAUAAAAUGGUGCCAUGCGUCUUGUUUCAUUGGAACUAAGUGUUGAUUGAUUUUGUUAAUUGGAGGGGGCAGCUGUUUAUAUUUUUCCUUUAUUAUUAAACGGAAAACUCUUUGGAAAUGUUUUUCUUAAGAGUAGGAAACGCAUCAUAUUUUG